UUAAAGGAUGUUUUGUUGGCAUGACCUCUGACCUGACCUUUGCCCUCUCAUGGAGCUCAUAGUAACAUACUUGUUUCUUGAUGCAACUUUCAUUUGAAUAAUCAGAAAACCUGAAGCUUCAGAUACAUGAAUCAAAGUUUUUGACUCAUUACAUGAGAAAGAUCCUACACUGUGAUGUAUUAUGUGCAUCAUCAGCUGUAUCUCGUACAGAUUUACAUCGAGAUGAUUUGCAUCGCAGCACAAGCUUCAGCAGGUUUUAUAUCUCUGUGAGUCUGAACUCCGAGAAUCUGAACCAACAGCAACCAUGAGCUUCAUCACCAUCUUCAUCUGGAUCUUCACUAGCUGCUGUUUCACAGAAUCAGCAGGUGAAGUGACAGUCACUCAGACGCCUGCAGAGAAACCUGCUCAACCAGGAGACACAGUUACUAUGUCCUGUAAAACCAGUCCUGAAGUUUACCAGGGUUACAGUUAUCAGCCUCUAUCCUGGUACUUACAGAAACCUGGAGAAGCUCCUAAACUCCUGAUUUAUUAUACAAACCGCCUCCAGUCAGGAACUCCAUCUAGAUUCAGUGGCAGUGGAUCUAACAGUGAUUUCACUCUGACCAUCAGUGGAGUCCAGACUGAAGAUGCUGGACAUUAUUACUGUCUGAGUUACCACUACAUCAACAGUGAUGAUGUGUUCACACAGUGAUUGUGAGUGGUACAAAAACCUGUGUCAGUCAGA
Carassius auratus (goldfish) is the source of this 724-nucleotide non-coding RNA. Lineage: Eukaryota; Metazoa; Chordata; Actinopteri; Cypriniformes; Cyprinidae. The record is from the annotation of a RefSeq genome assembly.